This 349-nucleotide ribosomal RNA is filed under the name Enterococcus faecalis. Its description in RNAcentral is "bacterial SSU rRNA". It matches the Rfam family "Bacterial small subunit ribosomal RNA", at positions 974 to 1324 of the family's 1533-position model. Lineage: Bacteria; Bacillati; Bacillota; Bacilli; Lactobacillales; Enterococcaceae. The record is from RNAcentral.
CCAGGUCUUGACAUCCUUUGACCACUCUAGAGAUAGAGCUUUCCCUUCGGGGACAAAGUGACAGGUGGUGCAUGGUUGUCGUCAGCUCGUGUCGUGAGAUGUUGGGUUAAGUCCCGCAACGAGCGCAACCCUUAUUGUUAGUUGCCAUCAUUUAGUUGGGCACUCUAGCGAGACUGCCGGUGACAAACCGGAGGAAGGUGGGGAUGACGUCAAAUCAUCAUGCCCCUUAUGACCUGGGCGACACACAUGCUACAAUGGGAAAAACAACGAGUCGCUAGACCGCGAGGGCAUGCGAAUCUCUUAAAGCUUCUCUCAAUUCUGAUUGCAGGAUGGAACUCGACUGCAAGAA